This is a long non-coding RNA of Myiozetetes cayanensis, 1849 nucleotides long. RefSeq lists it as uncharacterized. The transcript is spliced from 3 exons. The record is from RefSeq and is a predicted model, not a curated record. NCBI's taxonomy places the organism in Eukaryota, Metazoa, Chordata, Aves, Passeriformes, Tyrannidae.
CAUUCCCUGGCUCUGGGGGGUUUGGGAAGUGCCCAUUCCCUGGCUCUGGGAGGUUUGGGAAGUGCCCCAUUCCCUGGCUCUGGGAGGUUUGGGAAGUGCCCCAUUCCCUGGCUCUGGGAGGUUUGGGAAGUGCCCCAUUCCCUGACUCUGGGAGGUUUGGGAAGUGCCCCAUUCCCUGGCUCUGGGAGGUUUGGGAAGUGCCUCAUUCCCUGGCUCUGGGAGGUUUGGGAAGUGCCCAUUCCCUGGCUCUGGGAGGUUUGGGAAGUGCCUCAUUCCCUCUGGGGGUGGUAAAUAAUUCAGAUUAUAAUCUCUUUAUAAUUUAAUGAUCCAAUAUAGAUGAUGAUAUUGCUGAGGAAACAGGGAUUGCAGGGGGAGAGAACCCCUUGCUGGCAGAAAAUCAAUGUAUGGGGGGGAGUGGAUUUCAUGGAAUAACUUCCAGAAUAAUUUCCAACAACUCUUACUGAAAGCACACCACUCACACGGGAGGUUUUCUUAAUUCCUUGCCUGUUUUUCACCCCCUUUUGUCACUUUAUUGCCUAUUUUGGAUGUAAAACCACUCUUUAAUCUGCAUUUCCCUUCAUCUGCAUGGAGGUAAAGACCUUCUUUUUUUAAAAAAAAUAAUCAUUUCCUGCCGUCCCACCAAAAACAACCCAAAAAUGAAAGAUCCACAGCUUUGAUCCAAGCUCUGGAAUGUCCCCUGGAUGUUGGAAAGCCAAUGUGGAUCCUCUCCAAGUCCUUGUGAGCCAAAGGAGCCAGAGGCUCGCUGAUGGUUUUAUAUUCCCUGGAUUCCCUGUUUCUCUGGGCUGGGCUGGAAUUCCCAGGGAAGCUGUGGCUGCCCCUGGAUCCCUGGAAGUGCCCAAUCCCGAGGUUGUUGGAGCAACCUGGGAUAGUGGGAGGUGUCAGGGUUGGAACUGGAUGAGCUUUGAUGCCCCUUCCCAGCCCAAACCAUUCCUGUUUCCCUGUGUGGGGUCAGUUUGGAGCGGGAAUUCCGGCUGUUUCCGUGGAGAUGCUGAACUGCAGCUCUGCCUGUGGUUUUAUCUGCAGUGAAAAGGCAGCCAGGAGUUCUUCCUCCAUUGGAGGGGGAGAUUUUGGGGGUUCUGAAGGCGUUUUUUUUACUUUUAAAAAUCUGGGAACCCACUGGGAAGUUUUGUCUCCAGCAGUUUUUUUGCAAAGUGAUCCCUUCAAUGAGAAAAACGUGGAAUUUUAAGAUCUAGGAGAAGGUGAAGGGGUUUUUAUUGUGGUUGGUUGAAGGGGAGGGAUCAUCUCUGAGAGCAGGUAAAGGUUGGAAAGGACAGGUCAGGGUUGGGAAGGACAGGUCAGGGUUGGAAAUGAGAAGGUCAGGGUUGGAAAGGACAGGUCAGGGUUGGGAAUGAGCAGGUCAGGGUUGGGAAUGAGCAGGGCAGGGUUGGGAAUGAGCAGGUCAGGGUUGGGAAUGAGCAGGGCAGGGUUGGGAAUGAGCAGGCUGAGAUUGGGGAAGGGUGUGGAGCACAAUUCCCAUGAGGAGAGGCUGAGGGAGCUGGGGGGGCUCAGCCUGGACAGGAGGAGGCUCAGGGGAGACCUCAUCCCUCUGCACAACUCCCUGCCAGGAGGGGGGAGCCGGCUGGGAUGGGGCUCUGCUCCCAGGAAGCAGCAGCAGGACAAGAGGGCUGGACCUCCAGCUGGGCCAGGGGAGGUUCAGGUGGGAUGUGGGGAAGGGAUUCUUUCCCUGGAGAGUGCUCAGCCCUUGGAAUGGGCUGCCCAGGGAGGGGGUGGAUUCCCUGUCCCUGGAGGUGUUUCAGGACAGGCUGGAUGUGGCAUCAGCGCCAUGGGCUGGGAACCACGGCGGGCUUGGAGCCAGGGUUUGACUGAA